This 83-nucleotide small RNA is filed under the name Bacillus licheniformis. RNAcentral's name for it is "FsrA". It matches the Rfam family "FsrA". RNAcentral also lists the same sequence under 3 other names. Lineage: Bacteria; Bacillati; Bacillota; Bacilli; Caryophanales; Bacillaceae. The record is from RNAcentral.
AUAGAGAGAUGAACCUCUCUGUUCCCCAACCCCUCUAUCAGAUCAAGAUUUAAAAAACUUGGCGCUGCCCCCGCCAAGUUUUU